UACGAACCGUCCAAACGUUAUUCGGAAUUAUUGGGCUUAAAGGGUAUGUAGGCGGCGCUGUUAGUCGGGUGUGAAAUCCCUCGGCUCAACCGAGGAAUUGCGCCCGAUACUGCAGUGCUUGAGGGAGACAGAGGUAAGCGGAACUGAUGGUGGAGCGGUGAAAUGCGUUGAUAUCAUCAGGAACACCGGUGGCGAAGGCGGAUCUCUGGGCCUGUUCUGACGCUGAGGCGCGAAAGCUAGGGGAGCGAACAGG
Molecule: ribosomal RNA, 253 nt
Filed under: uncultured bacterium
Lineage: Bacteria
Description: partial 16S ribosomal RNA
Rfam family: Bacterial small subunit ribosomal RNA
Source: RNAcentral